AUGGCCCUGAAUCGAGGCCAGCAGCAGUUUACUGAAGCUGUUGGUUUCCAACAGGAGCCUAAAGAAAUGUUUUUCUAUGGUCUGUUAGCCAUUUUGUAAGUUUGUAAACCUAAUGGUCAACUCAUUAGAAAGAAACAUCU
Molecule: small nucleolar RNA, 140 nt
Filed under: Mus caroli (Ryukyu mouse)
Lineage: Eukaryota; Metazoa; Chordata; Mammalia; Rodentia; Muridae
Source: RNAcentral